AUUGAACGCUGGCGGCAGGCCUAACACAUGCAAGUCGAGCGAGCGGCGGACGGGUGAGUAAUGUCUGGGGACUGCCCGAUAGAGGGGGAUAACUACUGGAAACGGUGGCUAAUACCGCAUACUAUCGGAUAACCCAUAUGGGAUUAGCUAGUAGGGGGGGUAAAGGCUACCCUAGGCGACGAUCUCUAGCUGGUCUGAGAGGAUGAUAAGCCACACUGUGACUGAGACACGGCCCAGACUCCUACGGAGGCAGCAGUGGGGAAUAUUGCACAAUGGGCGCAAGCCUGAUGCAGCCAUGCCGCGUGUAUGAAGAAGGCCUUAGGGUUGUAAAGUACUGUCAGCGGGGAGGCGUUAACCGCAGAAGAAGCACCGGCUAACUCCGUGCCAGCCGCCGCGGUAAGUC
Molecule: ribosomal RNA, 403 nt
Filed under: uncultured bacterium
Lineage: Bacteria
Description: partial 16S ribosomal RNA
Rfam family: Bacterial small subunit ribosomal RNA
Source: RNAcentral